AUCUGACGGAGCACGCCGCGUGAGUGAUGACGGCCUUCGGGUUGUAAAGCUCUGUGAUCGGGGACGAAUGGCUGGUAUGCUAAUACCAUAUCAGAGUGACGGUACCCGAAUAGCAAGCCACGGCUAACUACGUGCCAGCAGCCGCGGUAAUU
This 152-nucleotide ribosomal RNA is filed under the name uncultured Megasphaera sp. Its description in RNAcentral is "partial 16S ribosomal RNA". It matches the Rfam family "Bacterial small subunit ribosomal RNA", at positions 381 to 525 of the family's 1533-position model. The record is from RNAcentral. Lineage: Bacteria; Bacillati; Bacillota; Negativicutes; Veillonellales; Veillonellaceae.